Long non-coding RNA from Scylla paramamosain (green mud crab), 381 nucleotides. RefSeq lists it as uncharacterized. The record is from RefSeq and is a predicted model, not a curated record. The transcript is spliced from 2 exons. Lineage: Eukaryota; Metazoa; Arthropoda; Malacostraca; Decapoda; Portunidae.
GUUUCCAGGGCGAAUGUUUCCCAGACCACCCGGUCAUACGCACGUUCUGGGAAGUAUUUCACAAACUCUCCCUGGAGCAGAAGAAGUUGUUUUUGAAGUUCCUGACGGGCACUGACAGGGUUCCUAUUCUGGGCCUGAAGGCACUCAAGUUGAUGAUCCAAAGCACAGCAGACGACAGCUUCCUUCCGGUCGCACACACCUGCAUCACCCAGACUGUGGAACGUCUUCGCGUCCUCCGUCCCUCACAUCAGGGGGAUGGAUACCCAGGACGUGAAGUUAACAGCACACCACUGGAGGGCUCGUUCCCAACCCUCCUGCUAACAAUAUUAACAUAAGUCCAUAAAGAAUGUAUAUAUAUGUAUAUAUAUCUUUAUAUUUAUA